UCACAGGGUCUUCAGAAACUGGUUCUUGUGUCUCUUGAGUAUCAAGAUCUAGGGAGCCUGGUUGCCUGUCCUCGCUGAAAAGUUGUAUUUGCUCCACAACAUCAUAUAUACCAGCUUGAAUCCUGCCCUUGAAUCAAAGGUUGCCCUGGUAGAGUAACAACAUCACAAGAGGAUCUUUCUGUCUCGGUAGUAGUGGGACAAGGUUCGCCAGAUGAACAUUCCAACUUUGUAGGAGCAAGACAUGGCUUUCCAUGGAUGCCAGCAUCUGCUGAGGAACUUGUUGGAUAGAAGGAACUUGGCUUCCAGUUUCCUUGCUCCGCUCGUUGGGUACACUUUGUGGGGAUACGUCUAUUCCAGAAUCAGCUGCCCUGCCACAGAGUGAGACACAGUACAGUAGGGGACAAAGAUUAAACUGCUCCAGGUGAUCAAUGUAUCAACUCAUGGUAUGGAAUCAUUAUCCGGAAACCCAAUUCAAAGGUAAAGAGCCACACUCACACCAAUCACUGUUUGAAGUCACAGGUGCACGCUGUCUCCUCUCUGCAAAGGGUUCUCACUUCAAUCCAUUAUCCGGAAACCCGUUAUCCAGAGUGCUCAGAAUGACAGAAAGGUUUUCUCCCACAGACUCCAUGGGGGCAGUUGUCCAGAAUACAAAAGUAAGGGGGUACAUGCAGAAUGAUAACCACCAAUAUACCCUGCCUGCACAUAAAUAUGAAUUAUACACCACAUGGCAGGGUGUUGGAAAUGUGUCUGGGGAUUUUUGUGGAUAACAAACUGUGUAAUUCAAGGUAGUAUUAUUCAGUGGCUAAUAAAGCAAACAAAGUUCUGUCUUGCAUAAAAAAGGUAACUAACUUGAGGGAAGAAAACAUAAUUUUGCCUCUUUAUAGGUCCCUGGUAAGGCCUCAUCUGGAGUAUGCAGUGCAGUUUGGGGCUCUGGUUCUUAAGAAGGAUAGAAAUGAGCUGGAGGUUAGUGGGAUGGAAGACUUAAAUUAUCAGGGUAAAUUGUCAAGGUUGGGGUUGUUUUCUCUGGAAAAGAGACACUU
Molecule: long non-coding RNA, 1040 nt
Organism: Xenopus laevis (African clawed frog)
Lineage: Eukaryota; Metazoa; Chordata; Amphibia; Anura; Pipidae
Exons: 5
Source: RefSeq, a predicted model, not a curated record